AGAAAUGGAAUCAUCGUAUCGCUGAUCUACGUAAACAAAUUGAAGAAUUGUCUGAAAGAAAAUAUGGUAUGUCUAAACUGGAAAAGUCCUGUAAUCUUAUGUUCAUGGGCGUUUACACAAUGGAGUUACUGUUCAUCAUGGGGGUACCGUGGACAAUCCCAGGGCUGCCGACAUGAACUUAUGAAUUCAACAGGUGAAGAUUUACUACUUGAUAAAUCAGCUUUGUGAGCUCGAGCUGUAAAAGCCAAAGGUCCGGUGAUGAUCCCAUACCCUUUUUUCCAGUCUCAUGUUGAAGAUUUUUAUGUAGAAGGCCUUCCCAAAGGAUUUUUUUUUUUUUUUUUUUUUGAGAUGGAGUUUUCACUCUUAUUGCCCAGGCUGGGGUGCAGUGGCGCAACCUUGCUCGUCACUGCAACCUCUGCCUCCUGGGUUCAAGAAAUUCUCCUGCCUUAGCCUCCCAAGUCGCUGGGAUUACAGGUGCCCACCACCACACCAGGCUAAUUUUUGUAUUUUUAGUGGAGAUGGGAUUUCACCAUGUUGGCCGGGCCAGUCUCGAACUCCUGACGUCAAGUGAUCUUCCCGCCUCGGCCUUCCAGAGUGCUGAGAUUACAGACGUGAACCCAUGCCUGGCCAGGAAUUUUGUUUUUUAGGAAGGCUUUCUACUAAUGGAAUUCCUGGCCUUGAGAGGAUGUUACUUUCGAAGGAAAGGAUUUUUUUGUUAUUAAAAGAAACAGGACCUUGCCCUGUCACUCAGGAUGGAGUUCAGUGCUCCUAUCAUGGCUCAUUAUAGCCUCAAACUCCCAGGCUCAAGCAAUCCUACCAUGUCAGCCUUCCCGUAGCUGGGACUACAGGUCUCACACUGUCACCCAGGCUGGAGUACAGUGGCACAACCUCUGCUCACUGCAGCCUCCACCUGCCAGGCUCAAGCAAUUCUCCUGCCUCAGCCUCCCGAGUAGCUGGGAUUACAGGAAGUGAGCUCACAAUGACUCAAGCUGCCACAUACUGUUGAUUGUGAAAUGCCAGUUGAAGUAUAUGUCCUGCGAGCUUAGGGGUGCUACAAGUUGACCACUGCAGCAAUAAAGAUGUCUCUGAAGAAUGGCGUGGGAUGGAUCCUUUCAAAUGCACUUGAGCAGCGGUCUCCAACCACAGGGCCACAGAGCUGGAGCUGGAUCUACCAUGAAGGACUUCUGAAUCCAGGAAGAGAGACUGACUGGGCAACAUGUUAUUCAGGUACAAAAAGAUUUGGACUGUAACUUAAAAAUGAUCAAAUAAUAGUGCAUGCAUCAAGUGCAAUGGGAAGCUCUUCUGGAGAGUGAGAGAAGCUUCCAGUUAAGGUGACAUUGAAGCCAAGUCCUGAAAGAUGAGGAAGAGUUGUAUGAGAGUGGGGAGGGAAGGGGGAGGUGGAGGGAUGGGGAAUGGGCCGGGAUG
Gorilla gorilla gorilla (western lowland gorilla) is the source of this 1425-nucleotide long non-coding RNA. RefSeq lists it as uncharacterized. The transcript is spliced from 7 exons. Lineage: Eukaryota; Metazoa; Chordata; Mammalia; Primates; Hominidae. The record is from RefSeq and is a predicted model, not a curated record.